This is a long non-coding RNA of Spea bombifrons (plains spadefoot toad), 283 nucleotides long. RefSeq lists it as uncharacterized. The transcript is spliced from 2 exons. NCBI's taxonomy places the organism in Eukaryota, Metazoa, Chordata, Amphibia, Anura, Pelobatidae. The record is from RefSeq and is a predicted model, not a curated record.
UGAGGCUGGGAGAGUAGCCCCACCAUUUACCCUGGAAAGACCAUCUCUGGAGCAUUUGAACAGGAUUGCGGAGCAGAGCCCAUCGAUGCCAUCAACGGACCCCCAAGAGCCGCCUCUGUCUUCAAAAGAACAAGAGAUGUUCCGUGGCUUUACCUUUGUGAGCCCCAUAGCGCUCACCGCUCUGCCCGCACCUGCUGCCCGCUGAGAUUUCAACCAAGAUGAACAUCAACAUGGUUGAACAAUGGACAAUUGAUAACCACCAAUAAAUAAACAUUCAAUUUGU